CAGUGAUCUAGGUGAAGACGAAGGCCUCCUCUCCCUGGCAGGCAAGAGGAAGAUCAGGGGGAGCCUGUCCAAGGAGUCAGUGGAGAUCCUUGGGGACUGGCUGUACUUGCACCUCUGUAAUGCCUCCCCCUGGGGCCGGGGAAGCUGAGCCUUUCUGGUCAGACCAACCUGUCAGCACUGCAGAUGUGUAACUGGUUCAUCAACGGCUGGCAGUGGCGUCUCCCAGACUGCAAAGAUGCGAAUCAGUUUACCCUCUCCCGAGGUGGGGGUGAGGCCUCAGAUGUGGCCCAGCCCAGUGGCAGCAGCCCUUCAGGGCUGCCUGUGUCUGUCCCAGCCCCCACAGAUGUGCUCUCCCUGUGUGUGUGCUGCGUGCUGCUCUGCUCAGGCCAGCGUGGAAAGCCUGCAGCCCCCUUCCCACGGCGGGAGCCGGAGCCCCCCAAUACUCUGACUCCUGGUAGCACACUCACCCUGCUGACCAGGACUGAGGCUGGAAGCCCCACAGGUGCACUCUCCAACAUGCCACCAGCCACAUCCCUAGAACGAGACAAAGAGGCUUCAGCAGCUUCCAGCUGCUUCCAGUCCUCCAACUACAGAGGGCUGCUGAGAUGGAGCUUGAGAAGCAGCAGCACCUGUUACUCCCAUUCCUGCACACUCCCAUCCCUUUAGUCUCUGAAAACCUCAAGUA
This 685-nucleotide long non-coding RNA is filed under the name Homo sapiens (human). RNAcentral describes it as "non-protein coding lnc-ADSS-3:1". Lineage: Eukaryota; Metazoa; Chordata; Mammalia; Primates; Hominidae. The record is from RNAcentral.